AAUGAGCCUGCGAGUUGUGGUGUCUGGCAAGGUUAAGCAAACGCGAAGCCGUAGCGAAAGCGAGUCUGAAUAGGGCGCUUAGUCAGAUGCUGCAGACCCGAAACGAAGUGAUCUAUCCAUGAGCAAGUUGAAGCUAGUGUAAGAACUAGUGGAGGACUGAACCCAUAGGCGUUGAAAAGCCCCGGGAUGACUUGUGGAUAGGGGUGAAAGGCCAAUCAAACUUCGUGAUAGCUGGUUCUCUCCGAAAUAUAUUUAGGUAUAGCGUUGUGUCGUAAUAUAAGGGGGUAGAGCACUGAAUGGGCUAGGGCAUACACCAAUGUACCAAACCCUAUCAAACUCCGAAUACCUUAUAUGUAAUCACAGCAGUCAGGCGGCGAGUGAUAAAAUCCGUCGUCAAGAGGGAAACAACCCAGACUACCAGCUAAGGUCCCUAAAUCUUACUUAAGUGGAAAACGAUGUGAAGUUACUUAAACAACCAGGAGGUUGGCUUAGAAGCAGCCAUCCUUUAAAGAAAGCGUAAUAGCUCACUGGUCUAGUGAUUUUGCGCGGAAAAUAUAACGGGGCUAAAGUAAGUACCGAAGCUGUAGACUUAGUUUACUAAGUGGUAGGAGAGCGUUCUAUUUGCGUCGAAGGUAUACCGGUAAGGAGUGCUGGAGCGAAUAGAAGUGAGCAUGCAGGCAUGAGUAGCGAUAAUUAAUGUGAGAAUCAUUAACGCCGUAAACCCAAGGUUUCCUACGCGAUGCUCGUCAUCGUAGGGUUAGUCGGGUCCUAAGUCGAGUCCGAAAGGGGUAGACGAUGGCAAAUUGGUUAAUAUUCCAAUACCAACAUUAGUGUGCGAUGGAAGGACGCUUAGGGCUAAGGGGGCUAGCGGAUGGAAGUGCUAGUCUAAGGUCGUAGGAGGUUAUACAGGCAAAUCCGUAUAACAAUACUCCGAGAACUGAAAGGCUUUUUGAAGUCUUCGGAUGGAUAGAAGAACCCCUGAUGCCGUCGAGCCAAGAAAAGUUUCUAAGUUUAGCUAAUGUUGCCCGUACCGUAAACCGACACAGGUGGGUGGGAUGAGUAUUCUAAGGCGCGUGGAAGAACUCUCUUUAAGGAACUCUGCAAAAUAGCACCGUAUCUUCGGUAUAAGGUGUGGUUCGCUUCGUAUUAGGAUUUACUCCGAAAGCGAAGAAACUUACAACAAAGAGUCCCUCCCGACUGUUUACCAAAAACACAGCACUCUGCUAACUCGUAAGAGGAUGUAUAGGGUGUGACGCCUGCCCGGUGCUCGAAGGUUAAUUGAUGGGGUUAGCAUUAGCGAAGCUCUUGAUCGAAGCCCGAGUAAACGGCGGCCGUAACUAUAACGGUCCUAAGGUAGCGAAAUUCCUUGUCGGUUAAAUACCGACCUGCAUGAAUGGCGUAACGAGAUGGGAGCUGUCUCAAAGAGGGAUCCAGUGAAAUUGUAGUGGAGGUGAAAAUUCCUCCUACCCGCGGCAAGACGGAGAGACCCCGUGGACCUUUACUACAGCUUGACACUGCUAUUUGGAUAAGAAUGUGCAGGAUAGGUGGGAGGCUUUGAGUAUAUGACGCCAGUUGUAUAUGAGCCAUUGUUGAGAUACCACUCUUUCUUAUUUGGGUAGCUAACCAGCUUGAGUUAUCCUCAAGUGGGACAAUGUCUGGUGGGUAGUUUGACUGGGGCGGUCGCCUCCCAAAUAAUAACGGAGGCUUACAAAGGUUGGCUCAGAACGGUUGGAAAUCGUUCGUAGAGUAUAAAGGUAUAAGCCAGCUUAACUGCAAGACAUACAAGUCAAGCAGAGACGAAAGUCGGUCUUAGUGAUCCGGUGGUUCUGUGUGGAAGGGCCAUCGCUCAAAGGAUAAAAGGUACCCCGGGGAUAACAGGCUGAUCUCCCCCAAGAGCUCACAUCGACGGGGAGGUUUGGCACCUCGAUGUCGGCUCAUCGCAUCCUGGGGCUGGAGCAGGUCCCAAGGGUAUGGCUGUUCGCCAUUUAAAGCGGUACGCGAGCUGGGUUCAGAACGUCGUGAGACAGUUCGGUCCCUAUCUGCCGUGGGCGUAAGAAGAUUGAAGAGAUUUGACCCUAGUACGAGAGGACCGGGUUGAACAAACCACUGGUGUAGCUGUUGUUCUGCCAAGAGCAUCGCAGCGUAGCUAAGUUUGGAAAGGAUAAACGCUGAAAGCAUCUAAGCGUGAAGCCAACUCUAAGAUGAAUCUUCUCUAAGCUCUCUAGAAGACUACUAGUUUGAUAGGCUGGGUGUGUAAUGGAUGAAAGUCCUUUAGCUGACCAGUACUAAUAGAGCGUUUGGCUUAUCUUUAAUAAAGCAU
This 2320-nucleotide ribosomal RNA is filed under the name Campylobacter coli. Its description in RNAcentral is "partial 23S ribosomal RNA". It matches the Rfam family "Bacterial large subunit ribosomal RNA", at positions 614 to 2925 of the family's 2925-position model. The record is from RNAcentral. Lineage: Bacteria; Pseudomonadati; Campylobacterota; Epsilonproteobacteria; Campylobacterales; Campylobacteraceae.